GGCGGGGUGGCCGAGUGGUCUAAGGCGCUGCGUUUAGGCCGCAGUCUCAUUGAGGCGUGGGUUCAAAUCCCACCCCCGUCA
This is a non-coding RNA of Gracilariopsis chorda, 81 nucleotides long. Lineage: Eukaryota; Rhodophyta; Florideophyceae; Gracilariales; Gracilariaceae. The record is from the annotation of a GenBank genome assembly.